Molecule: long non-coding RNA, 2908 nt
Organism: Fukomys damarensis (Damara mole-rat)
Lineage: Eukaryota; Metazoa; Chordata; Mammalia; Rodentia; Bathyergidae
Source: Ensembl
CCAGAUCCCUGUUAUUUAAAUAAGUAGUAAUUUCUCUCUUCCAAUCUUGUCCAAAUUAGGUUGAUCAGAUCCUUCAUGAGGAGUUCCCACCAUCUGACUUCUCAAACAAGGCAGCAUGCGGUGUUUGGGGCAUUCAACUUCCCAUCUGGCCUCUGCUUUGGGAGUGGCCUGGCAGCUCCCAGGCAAAAGGACCCAUCCCGCCUGGCUCUUGGUGUUUGGAGCACAGGACAGGACAGUUUUGCUUCGCUCUUGAAGUCCCCCUUUCUAAUCAAGGGGCAUGGACUGGUGGCACCCUGUAUCCUCCACUCACUUGGUGUAGAGAAUGAAAGCAAGCCUACUCUUUAUGUUAAAAUACAACUUGCAACUUGCUGUGCAAAGGCGACACUCCCAAAUCUCUCAUCAGUGGCCAACGGGACAUCUAAUUGCUUAGCUGGGCAAACGGGACCCGUUCCUGACUGCAGAAGCUGGAUAAAAACUACGUUCCGGUUUACUCCCAAAUGUUUGUAAGUACGCUUACAUCAACUCAACUUUCAAACUAGAGGUUGCUAAGCCAGGUGGUCAGUUUCAGUGCCGCUUACUCUAUUCUGAUGAUUUUAGGAUCUUCAUUGAGAAACAGAAGUAGAACAGGAAGCAGGGACACAGAAGGAUAGAGAUAGUUAACCGUGUUUCUAAGACAAAGAGAAGAUUUUGCUUUUACAGUGCUACCUACACUCUAGAAUGUGUCCGCGGAGGCGUUUCCUCAGAACUCUGUGUACUGUGUCCAGGUUGUUCGAGAACACAGUAUACUUCAUUCCAGCCACGAAAUCUGUCUUCUCAAUCCAGUGCUGUGUUCCCUAUUAGCUCUGUAGCUUUUCCUUGGAUAUUAGGAAGUAAAACAUCAAAAGCAGCUCAACAGAUAUGAGGAAGAAUGACUUUAGGAGCCACUGUAUCUUAUUUAUUUGAAUAUUGUUGGUUUGACUAAGUCCACAAAACUUGUUAGGGUGAGAAGGAGUUGAUGGACAUGAUUGAGCAGGGGCUUAUGCAUUAUCACCAUAAGCACAGGAUUUGAGCACUCUGUGUUACGCUCUCUAGCCUCCUGACAGUGUACCCUCUUUCCCUCACUACUUGGGAAAUGGACUUACUGAACUCUCUGUGUUAUCUGUCAUUUCAAAUCCAAUAUGUUUUAUUUCUUAAUAUAAACUUAACGGGUGAUACUGGUCUGGGCAGGACUCAAGAACAAAGAAAUAUCAGCAUCCUAAUUGAUCUAAAGGAAUUAGCUAUGUGACAGAGAAAUCAGUACUGCUGACCCAUUUUAUAGACAAGAAUCGGAGCUGGGCACCUCCCACACUGUCCUGUCUUCUCCACGCACACCCUGGGGCCCUAGCUCAUCUGGGAUCCAGCAGAUCUCUUCCUCAGGCUUGUGUUCUCUCCCAGGUACUUAUUUUUUUCUUGUACGAAUAGGACUCCCAAGGAGAUGAUUUCCUUUCCCCUUUGAAAGGCAAGGAAAUCCCUCUAGAACAAGCACUGUCAUGAGGUCAGAUCCAGAUUUUUGCUGAAGCGCCCGGCACCAAGUUUAAACCCACAGAUUAAAAAAGUGGGAGAACUUUCUGCAAAAGUUUCUGAACUCAUGUUGGAGGGCCUGAGCCUUGAGCCGUCAACCCUGGCUCUAGUCAAACAGAUAAGAUGAUUUUACGGUUCCAACAGAAAGCCUGGAAUCUUUGCCACACGGGGGCCCUCAGAAGGCCCCCACACCACGGCGGCCCAGUGUCCACCUGGCUGCCUGGCAACUGACUUUCGGGGACCAGCGGAAAGGUGACAUGGCCCCCCAGAGGCGAGCUGUCAAAUUCUGCCUGCUGCUGAUAAACUGAUUACAAAGCUGCUUAAGGCUGGGCUUGUAAGCAAAAGCAUUUAUCAACUAAUAAUUUGCAAUAAGCUGAUGUCACUCCCAGCUGAGCCCCUAACUGUCUUUACCAUCUGCCUAUUAAGACACCAUUCUUCAUCUACAAUCGGGAGCAGAAGGGGGAGAAUCUCCACCACAGUACCCAACUCGAAAGCUCACGAAUGGCCGGCGUGCAUCCCGCACUCGCGUUAGGACUCCCAUGUUGGGACGGCUUCAUUUCCAGCCCUGCCCAGCCCGGGAUGCUCAGAAAUGAGGUGGAGGGCAAGGGCGAGGAGGGAAGGAAGCCUGUGCCCGUGCUCUGCGGAUGAAUCCGUUUCGUGAGUUCAUGGCAGGAGGCUGUUUUUAAUUUCUCCCUUCCCUUCUUCCGCCUCUGUGUAAACAGCCAUCCAGGAGCCUGAUGACCACCCCCGCCAUGACGCACCAGCUGGAAAUGAACCUCUGUCCCUUUGUCUGCUUGUCCAUUUUCACUAAACUUCGUUGUUUUGCUUUUUAAGAAAAAAAUUUUAAUUCCAAGAGGCUCACCGCACUUCCCCCAGGAGCCGGCUUGGGAGCAGGGCGCAGUGGGGCUGCGGGUCCCUGGGGAAGGCGUCCAGCUGCUCUCUGCCCGCUCCCCUCCUGCAGCCGGCUUCCAAUCGCCCACCCUUCGCAUUUGUAGAUUCUCCUUUGCUCCGCCCUGAGCGCUGAGUGGAAGAGUCCAGAGACGAAGCCAGGCUAGUGGUGCACUUCCGUGUGUCUCCGGGAGCUUCUGUGCAGCCAACACCACUCUGUGCCUUCACUUAAAGUUUUAUGUACAUUUACCCUAAUUUUCUCUUUACACAAAUUCAUUCGAUAAUAAAAUUUAAUAGCAACACAGGAUUAAACAAUCUGGCCAUUGUUGCUAGUUUGAAACCAGAGGUAUAUCCUUGCUCGUACGCCUCUGCUGUCCUGAGGUGACCCUCGACGGCGUCCCGCUCACAGACAGCGCCCCUCUGUGUGGCACAGGGGCCAGCCGAGGGUGUCGCAGCCCCCCGGACAGGGACAGCGGCCACA